AAAUCGGUGGCAGAGUAUAAUGUGUUAAAUUGUAAAUUUAAUUAUGGGGGUUACCCUCGGUUUA
Molecule: transfer RNA, 64 nt
Filed under: Botryllus schlosseri
Lineage: Eukaryota; Metazoa; Chordata; Ascidiacea; Stolidobranchia; Styelidae
Description: transfer RNA-Tyr
Rfam family: tRNA
About the family: Transfer RNA (tRNA) molecules are approximately 80 nucleotides in length. Their secondary structure includes four short double-helical elements and three loops (D, anti-codon, and T loops).
Source: RNAcentral